This 316-nucleotide ribosomal RNA is filed under the name uncultured soil bacterium. Its description in RNAcentral is "bacterial SSU rRNA". It matches the Rfam family "Bacterial small subunit ribosomal RNA", at positions 26 to 372 of the family's 1533-position model. The record is from RNAcentral.
AGAACGAACGCUGGCGGCAUGCCUAAUACAUGCAAGUCGAACGAAGGCUUCGGCCUUAGUGGCGCACGGGUGCGUAACGCGUGGGAAUCUGCCCCUUGGUUCGGAAUAACAGUUGGAAACGACUGCUAAUACCGGAUGAUGACGAAAGUCCAAAGAUUUAUCGCCAAGGGAUGAGCCCGCGUAGGAUUAGCUAGUUGGUGAGGUAAAGGCUCACCAAGGCGACGAUCCUUAGCUGUCUGAGAGGAUGAUCAGCCACACUGGGACUGAGACACGGCCCAGACUCCUACGGGAGGCAGCAGUAGGAAUAUUGGACAAU